This is a non-coding RNA of Mycena albidolilacea, 92 nucleotides long. NCBI's taxonomy places the organism in Eukaryota, Fungi, Basidiomycota, Agaricomycetes, Agaricales, Mycenaceae. The record is from the annotation of a GenBank genome assembly.
ACACCGAUGGUGAAGCGGUUAUCAUGCUUGCCUUCCAUAUCAGGAACUGAGUCCUUAAGCAAGCGGCAGGGGUUCGACUCCCCUUCGGUGUA